GACGAACGCUGGCGGCGUGCUUAACACAUGCAAGUCGAACGGAAAGGCCCUGCUUGCAGGGUGCUCGAGUGGCGAACGGGUGAGUAACACGUGGGUGAUCUGCCCUGCACUUCGGGAUAAGCUUGGGAAACUGGGUCUAAUACCGGAUAGGAGCCAUCUUUAGUGUGGUGGUUGGAAAGUUUUUUCGGUGUAGGAUGAGCUCGCGGCCUAUCAGCUUGUUGGUGGGGUAAUGGCCUACCAAGGCGGCGACGGGUAGCCGGCCUGAGAGGGUGUACGGCCACAUUGGGACUGAGAUACGGCCCAGACUCCUACGGGAGGCAGCAGUGGGGAAUAUUGCACAAUGGGCGCAAGCCUGAUGCAGCGACGCCGCGUGGGGGAUGAAGGCCUUCGGGUUGUAAACUCCUUUCGCUAGGGACGAAGCUUUUUUGUGACGGUACCUAGAUAAGAAGCACCGGCUAACUACGUG
This 466-nucleotide ribosomal RNA is filed under the name uncultured bacterium. RNAcentral describes it as "partial 16S ribosomal RNA". It matches the Rfam family "Bacterial small subunit ribosomal RNA", at positions 28 to 507 of the family's 1533-position model. The record is from RNAcentral.